Molecule: ribosomal RNA, 253 nt
Filed under: uncultured bacterium
Lineage: Bacteria
Description: partial 16S ribosomal RNA
Rfam family: Bacterial small subunit ribosomal RNA
Source: RNAcentral
UACGUAGGGCGCAAGCGUUGUCCGGAAUUACUGGGCGUAAAGCGCGCGUAGGCGGUUUUGCAAGUCGGGUGUGAAAUCCCCAGGCUUAACCUGGGAACUGCAUUCGAGACUGCAUUACUAGAGUAUGGGAGAGGGAAGUGGAAUUUCCGGUGUAGCGGUGAAAUGCGUAGAUAUCGGAAGGAACAUCAGUGGCGAAAGCGACUUCCUGGACCAAUACUGACGCUCAUGUGCGAAAGCGUGGGGAGCAAACAGG